This 75-nucleotide transfer RNA is filed under the name Pseudobutyrivibrio sp. RNAcentral describes it as "tRNA-Ile". It matches the Rfam family "tRNA". Rfam says of the family: Transfer RNA (tRNA) molecules are approximately 80 nucleotides in length. Their secondary structure includes four short double-helical elements and three loops (D, anti-codon, and T loops). Further hydrogen bonds mediate the characteristic L-shaped molecular structure. tRNAs have two regions of fundamental functional importance: the anti-codon, which is responsible for specific mRNA codon recognition, and the 3' end, to which the tRNAs corresponding amino acid is attached (by aminoacyl-tRNA synthetases). tRNAs cope with the degeneracy of the genetic code in two manners: having more than one tRNA (with a specific anti-codon) for a particular amino acid; and 'wobble' base-pairing, i.e. permitting non-standard base-pairing at the 3rd anti-codon position. The record is from RNAcentral. Lineage: Bacteria; Bacillati; Bacillota; Clostridia; Lachnospirales; Lachnospiraceae.
CCUCAGAUAGCUCAGCUUGGUCAGAGCAGGACUCUUAUAAGGUCAAGGUCGUAGGUUCAAAGCCUACUCUGAGGA